GGUUAAGUAGCUUAUAUUAGAGCAUUGCAGUGAAGUUGCAGGUGAGCAAAAUUUGUCGUAACCA
RNAcentral lists this transfer RNA (64 nucleotides) under Nuttallina californica. RNAcentral's name for it is "tRNA-Phe". The record is from RNAcentral. Lineage: Eukaryota; Metazoa; Mollusca; Polyplacophora; Chitonida; Tonicellidae.